AUGGACUGUAAUCUCCUGGAUUUGGGAUUUUCUGGCCCAAAAUUCACCUGGUGCAAUCGACAUGACCCAAACAGCCAUGUGCAUUGCCGGCUUGACCGAGACAUGGCCAAUAAUGAGUUCUUCAACCUGUUCGCUGCAUGUGAUGUUGAGAAUGUCAUCGCCACUUCUUCUGACCACUACCCUGUUUAUGUCUGUCCGGACCGUGGCUCAAGGCAGCGUUGUGUGUCUCUGGUUCAACAAGGUUUCAAAUUUGAGGCUAUGUGGCUGCGGGCCACGGACUACAAGGAUACUUUGGAGCAUGCUUGGUCGGCGGGGAGAGAUGGGUUCUUGUCUCUUCAGUCAACCUGAGCCAAUUUGAAGAAUGUGGCUUCCUCAUUGAGGACUUGGAGCAAAGAGACAUUUGGGUCUGUGUGUAAGAAGACCGGGCAGUUGGAGCGCCGUUUGGCCACCAUCAGGGCCUCCCCGCCCACCCCGCCUGCCCUGGCGGAGGAACGACAGAUUGAGAGCUCGUUGUGUGAGUUGUUCGAGCGGGAGGAAAUCAUGGAGAGGCAGCGCUCUCGGGUGGAUUGGCUCAAAGAGGGGGACCGGAACACCGGGUUUUUCCAAGCUCGGGCGGCUGUAAGAAGGAGAACCAACCGAAUCCACACACUCACUCGGGAUGAUGGGUCGGUUUGUUCUUCUCAAGGUGAGAUCAAAGGUAUGGUGUAGUCUUUCUAUGACAAAUUGUUCACCUCGGAUCCUUGCCCAGACGCCGAGGGGGUCUUGCAGGCAAUCCCUGUUGGGAAACGUAGUAAUUUCAAAAAAAUUCCUACGCACACGCAAGAUCAUGGUGAUGCAUAG
Molecule: ribosomal RNA, 840 nt
Filed under: Triticum aestivum (bread wheat)
Lineage: Eukaryota; Viridiplantae; Streptophyta; Magnoliopsida; Poales; Poaceae
Description: partial small subunit ribosomal RNA
Source: RNAcentral